ACUAGUGAGGGACAGAACCAGGACUCAGACUCAGGUCCAUGGGCCUGGAUCACUGG
Gorilla gorilla gorilla (western lowland gorilla) is the source of this 56-nucleotide microRNA precursor. NCBI's taxonomy places the organism in Eukaryota, Metazoa, Chordata, Mammalia, Primates, Hominidae. The record is from Ensembl.